RNAcentral lists this ribosomal RNA (512 nucleotides) under uncultured bacterium. Its description in RNAcentral is "partial 16S ribosomal RNA". It matches the Rfam family "Bacterial small subunit ribosomal RNA", at positions 28 to 507 of the family's 1533-position model. The record is from RNAcentral.
GAUGAACGCUGGCGGCGUGCCUAAUACAUGCAAGUCGAACGAAACUUCUUUAUCACCGAGUGCUUGCACUCACCGAUAAAGAGUUGAGUGGCGAACGGGUGGGUAACACGUGGGCAACCUGCCCAAAAGAGGGGGAUAACACUUGGAAACAGGUGCUAAUACCGCAUAACCAUAGUUACCGCAUGGUAACUAUGUAAAAGGUGGCUAUACUACCGCUUUUGGAUGGGCCCGCGGCGCAUUAGCUAGUUGGUAGGGUAAAGGCUUACCAAGGCAAUGAUGCGUAGCCGAAUUGAGAGGUUGAUCGGCCACAUUGGGACUGAGACACGGCCCAAACUCCUACGGGAGGCAGCAGUAGGGAAUCUUCCACAAUGGGCGAAAGCCUGAUGGAGCAACGCCGCGUGGGUGAAGAAGGUCUUCGGAUCGUAAAACCCUGUUGUUAGAGAGGAAAGUGCGUGAGAGUAACUGUUCACGUUUCGACGGUAUCUAACCGGAAAGCCACGGCUAACUACGUG